Molecule: non-coding RNA, 608 nt
Organism: Cinara cedri
Lineage: Eukaryota; Metazoa; Arthropoda; Insecta; Hemiptera; Aphididae
Source: the annotation of a GenBank genome assembly
CCCCUUUUACCUAAACAAGGAAAAAACAAAUACAUUUUGGGUGGGCCUAGAGACCCAAGCUAUCGCUCGCUUGGACUAUUUAAUCGAAAAAUACUGCUUGAAUUGUGCAAACUUCUACUAAAAAUUUUGCUCUGAUGUAUCAAGUACAGCUUAUUUUCUGAUUUUCCUAGCAAAUGUGAGAAAAUUGGUAUAAUAUUAAACAAAUAUUAUUAAAGAAAAUAUAUAAUGCCUAUUUAAUUAUUUUUCGUUGCUUACAGAUAUACAUUAAAUUACCUAUUACAGUAGCUGCACUCGAACAUCAUUAUCCUAGGAUGUCUUGUUUUUUAAAUUUGAUGUUCAUAAUCUCUAUAAACCAUUUUUAAAACUUCCACUCUGAAUAUUAUAUCACAAAAAUAAAGUUCUGGUCCAUUAAAUUAUUUUUCAAAAUCACAUUUUAGUAGUAAACACUCAGAAAUGUAUUUUGUACUUUAGUAUUUAAUGACUUACAACAUAAGACUCGUGCAGGUAUCCUAUAAACCUUCAUAGGCUGCAUGCCUGUCUUGUUAUCAUAUUUAGGUAUAAUUACCAUUGUAUAUUAUGUAAUGCAAAAAAUAGGCAGACAGCUAUUU